GAUGAACGCUAGCUACAGGCUUAACACAUGCAAGUCGCGGGGCAGCAUGGGGGUUGCUUGCAAUCCCCGAUGGCGACCGGCGCACGGGUGAGUAACGCGUAUCCAACCUGCCCUUCACCACGGGAUAACCCGGCGAAAGUCGGACUAAUACCGUAUGUUGUCCAUUGACGGCAUCCGAUUUGGACGAAAGGCUUGGCGGUGAGGGAUGGGGAUGCGUCCGAUUAGCCAGACGGCGGGGUAACGGCCCACCGUGGCUACGAUCGGUAGGGGUUCUGAGAGGAAGGGCCCCCACACUGGAACUGAGACACGGUCCAGACUCGUACGGGAGGCAGCAGUGAGGAAUAUUGGUCAAUGGGCGUAAGCCUGAACCAGCCAAGUAGCGUGCAGGAUGACGGCCCUAGGGGUUGUAAACUGCUUUUAUGCGGGGAUAAAGUGGCCCACGUGUGGGGUUUUGCAGGUACCGCAUGAAUAAGGACCGGCUAAUUCCGUG
RNAcentral lists this ribosomal RNA (490 nucleotides) under uncultured bacterium. Its description in RNAcentral is "partial 16S ribosomal RNA". It matches the Rfam family "Bacterial small subunit ribosomal RNA", at positions 28 to 507 of the family's 1533-position model. The record is from RNAcentral.